RNAcentral lists this ribosomal RNA (253 nucleotides) under uncultured bacterium. RNAcentral's name for it is "partial 16S ribosomal RNA". It matches the Rfam family "Bacterial small subunit ribosomal RNA", at positions 524 to 776 of the family's 1533-position model. The record is from RNAcentral.
UACGAAGGGUGCAAGCGUUACUCGGAAUUACUGGGCGUAAAGCGUACGUAGGCGGUUAUUCAAGUCCGAGGUGAAAGCCCGGGGCUCAACCCCGGAACGGCCUUUGAAACUAGGUAGCUAGAGUCUUGGAGAGGUUAGUGGAAUUCCGAGUGUAGAGGUGAAAUUCGUAGAUAUUCGGAAGAACACCAGUGGCGAAGGCGACUAACUGGACAAGUACUGACGCUGAGGUACGAAAGCGUGGGGAGCAAACAGG